RNAcentral lists this ribosomal RNA (471 nucleotides) under uncultured organism. RNAcentral's name for it is "partial 16S ribosomal RNA". It matches the Rfam family "Bacterial small subunit ribosomal RNA", at positions 334 to 797 of the family's 1533-position model. The record is from RNAcentral.
CACUCCUACGGGAGGCAGCAGUAGGGAAUCUUCGGCAAUGGGGGCAACCCUGACCGAGCAACGCCGCGUGAGUGAAGAAGGUUUUCGGAUCGUAAAGCUCUGUUGUAAGUCAAGAACGAGUGGGAGAGUGGAAAGUUCACACUGUGACGGUAGCUUACCAGAAAGGGACGGCUAACUACGUGCCAGCAGCCGCGGUAAUACGUAGGUCCCGAGCGUUGUCCGGAUUUAUUGGGCGUAAAGCGAGCGCAGGCGGUUUGAUAAGUCUGAAGUUAAAGGCUGUGGCUCAACCAUAGUUCGCUUUGGAAACUGUCAAACUUGAGUGCAGAAGGGGAGAGUGGAAUUCCAUGUGUAGCGGUGAAAUGCGUAGAUAUAUGGAGGAACACCGGUGGCGAAAGCGGCUCUCUGGUCUGUAACUGACGCUGAGGCUCGAAAGCGUGGGGAGCGAACAGGAUUAGAUACCCGAGUAGUCCC